Molecule: ribosomal RNA, 497 nt
Filed under: uncultured bacterium
Lineage: Bacteria
Description: bacterial SSU rRNA
Rfam family: Bacterial small subunit ribosomal RNA
Source: RNAcentral
AGCGGACGUUUGCGGCGGGCUUAACACAUGCAAGUCGAACGAGAAUCCCUUCGGGGAGGAAAGUGGCGCACGGGUGCGUAACACGUGGAUAACCAACCCAUUGGUUUGGGACAACACCGGGAAACUGGUGCUAAUACCAGAUGUGUCGCAGCUGUCUUCAGGCGGUUGCGAGAAAGGCCCGCAAGGGUCGCCAACGGACGGGUCCGCGUCCCAUCAGCUAGUUGGUGAGGUAAUGGCUCACCAAGGCAAAGACGGGUAGCUGGUCUGAGAGGAUGAUCAGCCACACUGGAACUGAGACACGGUCCAGACUCCUACGGGAGGCAGCAGUGGGGAAUAUUGCGCAAUGGGCGAAAGCCUGACGCAGCCACGCCGCGUGAGCGAUGAAGGUCUUCGGAUCGUAAAGCUCUGUGGGGGGAGAAGAAGAAAGCCGGUGAAGAGCCGGCCCUGACGGUAUCCCCUUAGCAAGCACCGGCUAACUCCGUGCCAGCAGCCGCGGU